This 274-nucleotide long non-coding RNA is filed under the name Phaseolus vulgaris (common bean). RNAcentral describes it as "long non-coding RNA (PVUL_LNC003686)". Lineage: Eukaryota; Viridiplantae; Streptophyta; Magnoliopsida; Fabales; Fabaceae. The record is from RNAcentral.
AUAAACCUUUGCCUUUUGUCCAUUCUUAAUGCUGUUUUAUACUCAUGUCUGUAGUUAGAAAUCACACAGUACAGAAGUAAAUAAACUAAUUAAUAAUCAUAAUUUGUUAUAUAUAUAUAUAUAUACAUAUGUAUGAUUGGUAGAAGAUGAUGAUUAAGGAAUCAAAAUCCCAUAAAAAAGACAAGAAAAUCUUUUCAGUGUCCCAAGUGAAAGUGGUAGGGAUGGGACCAUGUUACCUCCCAAGAACACCACACACAUGCAUGGAGAACCCUAC